GAAGGAUUCUGCAGGAGAACAAUGCCCUCAAAAGACGAAGCGGCAGCGAGUCGCACGAAGCGCUUCGCCAAUCAGCGUCCUGGUGGUGACUUCCCCUGCUGGCUUCGUCGAACCUACACGCGAACGAUCCCGAAGGACAUUCGCACGACACAGCAGCUGCAACGCUCGUUCGAGGAUAUACGAGAGCAGUGGCGGGAUCUGUGCGAGGCUUACACGCAUGCAAGGGCCAAAUCUUCUUGGCAUGUGGAGUCCGCCAUGGAGGAGGUUGUUCCACAUGGUACUCGCAGUGCGGUAGAGCGCCUGGUGAGCCAGCUGAAGUCGGUGAAGCAGGAGUUACUGGCUCACCUGUCGAAGCUCUCUGAGGCACUCGCCGGACCCGCUGCACCGCUGCCGACUGGGGCCUCCGCCUCCGCGCUGCCUGGCUGGGUGAGUGACUUGAUGGGGUGCAGCGACGCCUCCAGUGCGCGCGCGGUUCGCGUGGAGCAGAACUCGAAAGCGAUGCAGAGCUACCUGCAGGUGGUUUGGCUGGCGCGGCGAGUGUGGGUGUGGUCCCUCUGCUUUGCGAGCGUUGCGAUGGACCUGGAGCUGCUGUCGGGCAGCGUCAGUGUCGCCGCGGAGCUCUUCUUCGGUAACGCGUUUGACACAGCCAUAGCACCCGAACUAGGUGAAGCGAAUCGCGCACAGAGGGACAACCUUGUUCUUCACAGCGCCUACAACAUGGGCGGCUCCAUUUCCGAAGCACUCCUCUAUGCCGCGGUGGAAGCAGCAGCAGCGGAAGGGCCAUCUGAAAGUCCAGCCGGCAACGCGAUUGCUCGGCUUGACGAUUCCGAUUUGCCGCCGCACUUCGCCGUUAAAGUGGAUGAGGAAGCGUGUGAGGUGGCUGCCUUUUUCGGCUGCAGUGUGUCGGCGGCGUAUCGCGCAGCCGACACCGUAGCAGAAGUGCCCUCAACGCACAUAGAUCCGCACGCGGCGGUGAUGAAGGGCGAAGGCCGCACCCCUUCGCCAGAGACCUCUUCAGCACCGCCGGUGCGCGACCUGUUUUGGGUACACGCUGCUGCGCUGUGCUACAGCGUGAUGGUGCGCGAUGACACAAGCGCGGCACGUUUGCUUUCGGUCUUCGAGACGGCGAAGCGUUCCUUUUCAGUCGAGGAAGCGGAGGGGAGCACGGAGGGCACUGGACCCUCAUCCCCGACCACUGCGAAGGCAGCCGCCGAGCAGCCUAACCCGUUGCAGCAUUCACCGGUGCUACAGGCUGCCACCGCAUUCGUACUGCGUGCGGCGAAGCUGAUAGCCGAUGAGGACUACAACGCUGUUCAGCAACUUCUUCACCGCGCUGGCUUCGGCAGCUGCAACGGCAGGCGCUCUGAGAGUGGUGCGCAGGGCUGCUCGAGCUCGUCGCUGGCCGCACUGUGCCCACAGGGUGUUCUGCUGCGCUUCCUGAUUCGCCUUUUGGCAGAACAUGUCGUGCGACGGCAAUGGACAGAGCGUGGGCUGGGGCAGGCCUUUCGACCCAUGGAACCGUUCGAUGUCGGUGUCGAUGCCGCCGCGGCGGGGCCAGGCAUCCCGAAGGCUUCUAAUCGGCAUCGGCUGGCGUGCGCGCUGGCGACCCGUGCGUCAAGUAAUGAUGCGGCAGAGCGUUCCCAACCCGGCAGCUGUGUAACCGCAUGGUCGCUCGUCGACGGCACGCAACAUCUCUGCGACGCUUUGCAGAUAGCCGCCCUGCGCAACACGGGCGGCGACUGGCCACUGCCCCCGGCACUGCUGAGGCAUGCCUUUGCGUAGGACUCCGCUGAAAAGGUGCGUGGUCCCGCUUCCGAGCCCAAGAGCUGCGGGUGCCUUCGCCGCUCAGCACUCUUCAGGGGGACUCGAACUCAGCAGUCUACAUGGCAGUGAGACGGUGCUGUGUGCCUUGGUCGAUGCGAGCACUCACGUGGCAGGUAAUGGCGGUGCCAUGGGCUGGUGCGCACAGUGCAUUGUGAGCACAGGGCAACCCGAGCACAGAC
This 2003-nucleotide unclassified non-coding RNA is filed under the name Leishmania donovani. RNAcentral's name for it is "gene:LdHU3.33.3720(CDS-product:hypothetical_prote in_conserved)". The record is from RNAcentral. Lineage: Eukaryota; Euglenozoa; Kinetoplastea; Trypanosomatida; Trypanosomatidae.